RNAcentral lists this unclassified non-coding RNA (781 nucleotides) under Hevea brasiliensis (rubber tree). The record is from RNAcentral. Lineage: Eukaryota; Viridiplantae; Streptophyta; Magnoliopsida; Malpighiales; Euphorbiaceae.
ACUUACGAGUCACCAAUGUUGGGCAUGACAUACCAAACUCUAUAAAAAUACCCGAUUAACUCUUAAUUACAUAUGCAGUAUUGAGAAGACACUACAAAAUUGGAUGAAAUGGCGAUAGAUCAAGUUUUGCAGCAUCCAUUUAGUGAUAAAUUUGAAAAAGGAAUAUCAUCAGUGCUUCCAUUCUUAUCAGGGUAGUUUUUCUCCUCCAGGCCCCGUGUUAGAGGAUCAUUUAUAUCAUGCUAGAAUCCACUGGAUAACUCCCCAAAACUCGUAAGAAAGUCGCAAACUCCUUCAGGUGCUUGAGGGCAUUCUGUGCAUUCUGGUCGGCCAUUGAUGCCUCAAAAUCCACAUAGAAAAGAUAGUCAAAGUAUCUGUUUGGAAACCCAUUGUCGCUAUCAUCAGAUGCUCUCAAGGGCUGAUUCCGCAAUGGACGACUCUCAAUCUUAGUAAGGUUGAUUUGCCACAAAGCAAAAACAGCAAGUGCUUUGAAUAGCACUCCAGGACCCUCCUCAAGUGAAAAAACAAUGCUCGUCUUGAAUGGCCUGUCCGUUCCUGGAAUUAUUGGCUCCCUGGCUAGCAUCAGAAACCGAGUAACAUUAUCACAAUCAUCCUGAAUAUCUUCAGCUAAUAUAUUCAACCCAUAAAUCUUUGCAGCCACAGAACUAGCAACAGCUCCUGUGUCUUUCAGUUUGUGAAGCGCAACAUGCUUUGCUGCACCAGCAGUAUCAUCCACUGCUUCUCUAACCAAUCCCAAACUUGUUAAUGUAUGCUCACAUUGAGC